AAGCGUGGGGAGCAAACAGGAUUAGAUACCCUGGUAGUCCACGCAGUAAACGAUGAAUGUUAGUCGUUGGUAUCCUAGGGAUAUCAGUGAUGCAGUUAACACAUUAAACAUUCCCGCCUGGGGAGUACGGUCGCAAGAUUAAAACUCAAAGGAAUAGACGGGGACCCGCACAAGUGGUGGAGCAUGUGGUUUAAUUCGAAGAUACGCGAAGAACCUUACCUAGCCUUGACAUAUUUAAGAACUCAGCAGAGAUGCAGAGGUGCCUUCGGGAGCUUUCUUACAGGUGCUGCACGGCUGUCGUCAGCUCGUGUCGUGAGAUGUUGGGUUAAGUCCCGCAACGAGCGCAACCCUCGUCACUAGUUACUAACGGUUCGGCCGAGGACUCUAGUGAGACUGCCUUCGUAAGGAGGAGGAAGGUGAGGACGACGUCAAGUCAUCAUGGCCCUUACGGCUAGGGCAACACACGUGCUACAAUGGUUAGGACAAUGAGAAGCAAUAUCGCGAGGUGGAGCAAAUCUAUAAACCUAAUCUCAGUUCGGAUUGUAGUCUGCAACUCGACUACAUGAAGCUGGAAUCACUAGUAAUCGUAGAUCAGCUAUGCUACGGUGAAUACGUUCCCGGGUCUUGUACUCACCGCCCGUCACACCAUG
Molecule: ribosomal RNA, 650 nt
Filed under: Folliculinopsis sp. SKG-2010a associated epsilon proteobacterium
Lineage: Bacteria; Pseudomonadati; Campylobacterota
Description: bacterial SSU rRNA
Rfam family: Bacterial small subunit ribosomal RNA
Source: RNAcentral